Molecule: ribosomal RNA, 252 nt
Filed under: uncultured bacterium
Lineage: Bacteria
Description: partial 16S ribosomal RNA
Rfam family: Bacterial small subunit ribosomal RNA
Source: RNAcentral
UACGGAGGGGGCAAGCGUUGUUCGGAAUCAUUGGGCGUAAGGGCUCGUAGGUGGUUUUGUGUGUCUACCGUUAAAGCAUACGGCUCAACCGUGUUCCGUCGGUAGAAACUGCAGAACUUGAGGCUGGGAGGGGCUGGUGGAAUUCCCUGUGUAGCGGUGAAAUGCGUAGAGAUGGGGGAGAACACUCGUGGCGAAGGCGGCCAGCUAGACCAGCUCUGACACUGAGGCGCGACAGCGUGGGGAGCAAACAGG